UCGUACAUAUUCACAUAACAUCAUGUGUCUACAUUGUACAUAUUUACAUAACAUCAUAGGUUUACAUAGUACAUAUUCUCAUAACAUCAUAGGUCUACAUUGUACAUAUUCGCAUAACAUCAUAUGUCUACAUUGUACAUAUUCACAUAACAUCAUAGGUCUACAUUAUACAUAUUCACAUUACAUCAUAGGUCUACAUCGUACAUAUUCACAUAACAACAUAGGUCUACAUUGUGCAUAUUCCCAUAACAUCAUAGGUCUGCAUUGUACAUAUUCACAAAACAUCAUAUGUCCACAUUGAACAUAUUCACAUAACAUCAUAGGUCUACAUUAUACAUAUUCACAUAACAUCAUAGGUCUACAUUAUACAUAUUCACAUAACAUCAUAAGUCUACAUUGUACAUAUUCCAAUAACAUCAUAGGUCUACAUUGUACAUAUUCACAUAACAUCAAAGGUCUACAUCGUACAUAUUCACAUAACAUCAUAUGUCUACAUUAUACAUAUUCACAUUACAUCAUAGGUCUACAUUGUACAUAUUCACAUAACAUCAUAGGUCUACAUUGUACAUAUUCUCAUAACAUCAUAGGUCUACAUUGUACAUAUUCACAUAACAUCAUAUGUCUACAUUGUACAUAUUCUAAUAACAUCAUAGGUCUACAUUAUACAUAUUCACAUGACAU
Long non-coding RNA from Haliotis rubra (blacklip abalone), 681 nucleotides. RefSeq lists it as uncharacterized. The record is from RefSeq and is a predicted model, not a curated record. NCBI's taxonomy places the organism in Eukaryota, Metazoa, Mollusca, Gastropoda, Lepetellida, Haliotidae. The transcript has 4 exons.